This 497-nucleotide ribosomal RNA is filed under the name uncultured bacterium. RNAcentral's name for it is "partial 16S ribosomal RNA". It matches the Rfam family "Bacterial small subunit ribosomal RNA", at positions 28 to 507 of the family's 1533-position model. The record is from RNAcentral.
GAUGAACGCUGGCGGCGUGCCUAAUACAUGCAAGUCGAGCGAACAGAUGAGGAGCUUGCUCCUCUGACGUUAGCGGCGGACGGGUGAGUAACACGUGGAUAACCUACCUAUAAGACUGGGAUAACUUCGGGAAACCGGAGCUAAUACCGGAUAAUAUAUUGAACCGCAUGGUUCAAUAGUGAAAGACGGUUUUGCUGUCACUUAUAGAUGGAUCCGCGCCGCAUUAUCUAGUUGGUAAGGUAACGGCUUACCAAGGCAACGAUGCGUAGCCGACCGGAGAGGGUGAUCGGCCACACUGGAACGGAGACACGGUCCAGACUCAUACGGGAGGCAGCAGUAGGGAAUCUUCCGCAAUGGGCGAAAGCCUGACGGGGCAACGCCGCGUGAGUGAUGAAGGUCUUCGGAUCGUAAAACUCUGUUAUUAGGGAAGAACAAAUGUGUAAGUAACUAUGCACGUCUUGACGGUACCUAAUCAGAAAGCCACGGCUAACUACGUG